CGAGCACGCGCGUGUGGCAUAUCAAUAAGCGGAGGAAAAGAAACUAACAAGGAUUCCCCUAGUAACGGCGAGUGAAGCGGGAAGAGCUCAAAUUUGAAAUCUUAAAGGGUUUCCCUUUACGAAUUGUAGUUUAAAGAAGUGUUUUCUGUUGGAGUUUCGGUAAAAGUUCUUUGGAAUAGGACAUCAUAGAGGGUGAGAAUCCCGUAUUUGACCGUUACUUUCCAGCUGUGUGAUACACUUUCAAAGAGUCGGAUUGUUUGGGAAUGCAGUCCGAAAUGGGUGGUAAAUUUCAUCUAAAGCUAAAUAUUGGCGAGAGACCGAUAGCGAACAAGUACCGUGAGGGAAAGAUGAAAAGAACUUUGAAAAGAGAGUUAAACAGUACGUGAAAUUGUCAAAAGGGAAGCGUUUGACACCAGUGUUGUUUUCUCGAAAAUCAAUUAAAAAUGGCCGGAUUUUGUGUUGUAUUGACCUUAUCAGCUUUCCGCACUUUUUUCUUGUCUUUUUUAAUGCACUUUUCGUUUAACAAGUCAACAUCAAUUUCUUUUGCUGUAAAAGGGUAAAAGGAAGGUGGCUUUAGUUUCGGCUGAAGUGUUUAUAGCCUUUUACCUCUGCAGUCGGAGAGAUUGAGGUCUGCAGCGUAGAUCCUUCGGGGUUAGAUACAUUUGUGCUAAGUUAUAGCUUUUCAUAGACAACAUGUUGACUAUGUUAAGUCAUGUAGCUUACUCGCAAGUGCUAUUUUACCUACGCUUAGGAUGUUGAGCGCAUGUCUCUCUCUC
Molecule: ribosomal RNA, 776 nt
Filed under: uncultured Neocallimastigales
Lineage: Eukaryota; Fungi; Neocallimastigomycota; Neocallimastigomycetes; Neocallimastigales
Description: partial large subunit ribosomal RNA
Rfam family: Eukaryotic large subunit ribosomal RNA
Source: RNAcentral